AGUAGUUUGGCAUGAGAGGAAGAAAACCUGGCCUUAGAAGAGGAGUUCAGACAGGAAGCAGCAAUAUUCCAUGAAGAUUUCUGAAUCAAACAGGAGAGGAACUGGCUUCUCAAAGAGCGUAUUGCAGAGAUUCCCUAAAACAUUCGGCUGCACAGCUGGAGCAGCUCCUGAAGCACCUUGUGGUCACAUUCUCAGCAGUAGGAGCCCUUCAGACAUGGUGUCUGUAUGGUGUCUGCUCACCAUGCCAGGUGGGGAGCCCCAGCCUUCCAAACAGCAGUCUUUUUUCGUAGGCUCAUGGUUGCCUCUGGGAUCAUGUAUACUGAGCUGAGAUGACUGAGGAAUCAAACUGACUCAUGAAGUCAGGGAUGGUAGCCUGCAGUGAUGAUGGCAGCAAGGAUUGUUCUCCCGUCAGCGGAAGGAAAACCUGCACUGGGCAGAGAGAGGAUAAAGCCCUCCUGUGCAUCCUACUGACGCACCACAAGCAGCUGCAGUUGCUUCCUACUGCCACAGCACAGGUAAGUCUGGUGUGUACACUCCGCCCUAGCUUUUCCAAGGUAUGCGUCAUGGCUGGAACAGAGACUUGCAUAGUGUCACAUCUCAUUGAUGAUACCCUCACCAUGAUCAGAUUCAUUUCUCCCUCCUCCUUUACUGUGCAACGCUUUCCUUAAUUUGUCAGCGCAAGCAGAAAUAACGAGGCUAACAGGAGCUUUGGCUUAUCUCCUCUUCUAACUGUGACUAAGAAGUAUGUGGGUGAUAUCUUGAUCAAGGGCUGUUUUGGUUGCAGUGUACACACACUCAAACUUUGCAGUUCCAGUCCAGAACAGUAGGUCAUCCCUGUGCCCAGUAAAUGCACUGUUACAACGGGUGCAACUCUGUAUCAAUUCAUGUCACAUCUGGCACACUUAACAUUUCAAAAACUGCAUAAGCUGCACCUCAAAAUGUUGUUACUCGGCAUUGCUGUCUGUAAUAACUGAGAAUCAUUACACUCCAUUAAGACAUUGAAUAUGAACAUGUAAAAGAACUGUUACUGUUAUCUGUAUGAUGACCAGACCAUUAAGAGUUCUUCUUAAUAAUAAAUAAUAAUUAAGAGCCA
Molecule: long non-coding RNA, 1093 nt
Filed under: Numida meleagris (helmeted guineafowl)
Lineage: Eukaryota; Metazoa; Chordata; Aves; Galliformes; Numididae
Description: lncRNA (ENSNMEG00000010038.1)
Source: RNAcentral